Molecule: microRNA precursor, 168 nt
Filed under: Oryza brachyantha (malo sina)
Lineage: Eukaryota; Viridiplantae; Streptophyta; Magnoliopsida; Poales; Poaceae
Description: MIR812 microRNA precursor family
Rfam family: MIR812 microRNA precursor family
Source: Rfam by way of RNAcentral
UACAAUAUUUUGACUUUUUGUUUUAUUUAAAUUUUUUUGCGAUUAAUAUUUUUAUUAUUACUAGAUGAUAAAUUAUAAAUAGUACUUUAUGUGUGACUAAUUUUUUUAAAUUUUUGUACAAUUUUUUUAAAUAAGACGAAUGAUCGAUGCAUUGAGCACAGAAAUCGA